This 404-nucleotide ribosomal RNA is filed under the name uncultured Bacillota bacterium. RNAcentral's name for it is "bacterial SSU rRNA". It matches the Rfam family "Bacterial small subunit ribosomal RNA", at positions 378 to 774 of the family's 1533-position model. The record is from RNAcentral. Lineage: Bacteria; Bacillati; Bacillota.
GAAGUCUGAUGGAGCAACGCCGCGUGAGUGAUGAAGGUUUUCGGAUCGUAAAACUCUGUUGUAAGGGAAGAACCAGUACGUCAGGCAAUGGACGUACCUUGACGGUACCUUAUUAGAAAGCCACGGCUAACUACGUGCCAGCAGCCGCGGUAAUACGUAGGUGGCGAGCGUUGUCCGGAUUUACUGGGCGUAAAGGGUGCGUAGGCGGAUAUUUAAGUCAGAUGUGAAAACCCCGGGCUUAACUUGGGGACUGCAUUUGAAACUGGAUAUCUAGAGUGCAGGAGAGGAAAGCGGAAUUCCUAGUGUAGCGGUGAAAUGCGUAGAGAUUAGGAAGAACACCAGUGGCGAAGGCGUCUUUCUGGACUGUAACUGACGCUCAGGCACGAAAGCGUGGGUAGCAAACA